GGGCGCUAUCCAGCGGGAACAUUUCCAGGGUGGACGAGGGUGGUCCGCGGCCUCCCAGGAAGUGGGAGGAGGUCUCUGAGAUCUUUUGUUCCCUGCGUCCUGGCCUCUGAGCAUCUCUGGGUACCGAGUCCCAUCUCUCAGAGGGUACCCCGCGGAGAGGAACAGCCGCCAGUGAGCGCUUUGUCAACCACGAUGUACCGGAACUCCCUGCUUAUAAGCCUCUGGUCCAGAGCAGCUUUUACUAGGACCACCGUGAUACUAGACAGAGAAGAUCCUGCCAGGCGGUUUCCAGGGAGGCAGGUGCGUAAGCUUUCAAAUAGCAACCAUACCCGCCAAACUCACCAAGAUGACCCCAUGAUCAGUUGCCAGAAUGGUGGGAUCGCAGGGUCUCGGCCUGCAGAACGUCCAAGCGAUUACAUGGCCUUUCUAGUGCCUGCUCUAGUGAGCUUCUGCGGUUGCCUGUGGCUGUCUUGUUUCUAGAACCAACCAUCCACUCUCUCCCCACCUUCCCCCCGCCCCGAAGAAGGAUAUUUGGAAAAACGGAAACAAAAAACAAACAAGACUGAAAGCUCAGGAAAUGCCCGGAGCCUAAGUGCCCACCUGUCCAGUCGCAGCUGGCACACGAUGCCCAGGACGUCCACCUCCCCUUGGGCCUUAAGCUGUUGGCAGCCAAUGCGGGUGGCGAUGAAGCAGCCGGUCCGGCCGAUCCCUGCGCUGGGUCCAGGGAUCCAGGG
Odocoileus virginianus texanus is the source of this 734-nucleotide non-coding RNA. Lineage: Eukaryota; Metazoa; Chordata; Mammalia; Artiodactyla; Cervidae. The record is from RefSeq and is a predicted model, not a curated record.